UACGGCGAGUGANCGGCNAAGCUCAAAUUUGAAAUCUGGCACUUUCAGUGUCCGAGUUGUAAUUUGAAGAAGGUAACUCUGGAGUUGGCCCUUGUCUAUGUUCCUUGGAACAGGACGUCACAGAGGGUGAGAAUCCCGUGCGAUGGGGUGUCCAAUUCUAUGUAGAGUGCUUUCGAAGAGUCGAGUUGUUUGGGAAUGCAGCUCUAAGUGGGUGGUAAAUUCCAUCUAAAGCUAAAUAUUGGCGAGAGACCGAUAGCGAACAAGUACAGUGAUGGAAAGAUGAAAAGAACUUUGAAAAGAGAGUGAAAAAGUACGUGAAAUUGUUGAAAGGGAAGGGCUUGAGAUCAGACUCGGUAUUUUGCGAUCCUAUCCUUCGUGGAGAGGUUUCACUUGCAGCUUACCGGGCCAGCAUCGGUUUGGAUGGUAGGAUAAUGACAUUGGAAUGUGGCUUUUCGGAGUGUUAUAGCCUUUGUUGAUACUGCCUAUCUAGACCGAGGACUGCGUCUUUGACUAGGAUGCUGGCAUAAUGAUCUUAAGCCGCCCGUCUU
Molecule: ribosomal RNA, 548 nt
Filed under: Kurtzmaniella natalensis
Lineage: Eukaryota; Fungi; Ascomycota; Pichiomycetes; Serinales; Debaryomycetaceae
Description: eukaryotic LSU rRNA
Rfam family: Eukaryotic large subunit ribosomal RNA
Source: RNAcentral